This 605-nucleotide unclassified non-coding RNA is filed under the name Hevea brasiliensis (rubber tree). Lineage: Eukaryota; Viridiplantae; Streptophyta; Magnoliopsida; Malpighiales; Euphorbiaceae. The record is from RNAcentral.
AGCAAAAGAAAGCAACAGGAAGCAGAGAUCAAAAUUCUUAUUCACGUGGACAAUUUCCAAGAAUUGAUUGAAGCCCCAACUAAAAUACGUUGGUUGUGGAAUUUAUUUAUCAUGCUCAUCAUAAUAACAGAAGAUAUUUACAUAAUAUAUUAUCGUGUGGAAUUCAAACCUGGGCAUGAUGAGUUCUUCUACAAACUGAACUUUUUCUAGCAAGCAACACGAACAGGGAAAUUGACGAGCUUAAAAAAAAAAAAGGACAUUGACGAAAUCAUUUAAAUUGAUAUCCGCAACUGAGUACGUAUUUGAUGAAAUCAUUAAACUCGUGUAACUCGAUAACCCCAUCUCCAUUUUGAUCGCAAUGUUUGAGCGCACGGUCAGCUCUAAAUCCAGGGACAAAUGCGCCAAGUUUACUUAAGGCUUCUUUUAUCUCGUCUCUGCUGAGAUGAUUGUCUUUGUUCACAUCGAACCAAUUGAAUAACUGCACAUUAGGAUCAUCAACUCCUUUAUCCCUUACACGUAAAACCAUUUUGCAAGGGGGGUUUUUGGUUGGCUUAACCAUCUUGCAAGAACACUAAAAAUAUAUUGUGCUAUAUAGCAAGGCUAAU